This 232-nucleotide long non-coding RNA is filed under the name Struthio camelus australis. RNAcentral's name for it is "lncRNA (ENSSCUG00000010811.1)". The record is from RNAcentral. Lineage: Eukaryota; Metazoa; Chordata; Aves; Struthioniformes; Struthionidae.
UUUCUGCAGGGACAUCUGUAACUUGAGAUCCGGAGAGCAACAAGUAAUACAGGCUUGACUGCUCAUUGUUCAACACACAGAAUCCUGAGGUAGUGAACAGAGGACAUUUGUGAUUUGAGACUUUGACGGACUAACUGGUGAGUCGUGUUGCAGCAGUUUAAAACUUAAGUGCUAAGACUAAAACUAUCUGCUGUGCUUUUCUUUCAAAGAUUAUGUUCCCAUAGAAAAGUUA